CGGCAUUGAGUGCUUGCACUCUUUGGACGUCGACCGGCGCACGGGUGAGUAACGCGUAUCCAACCUUCCCAUUACUGUGGGAUAACCUGCCGAAAGGCAGACUAAUACCGCAUAGUCUUCGAUGACGGCAUCAGAUUUGAAGUAAAGAUUUAUCGGUAAUGGAUGGGGAUGCGUCUGAUUAGCUUGUUGGCGGGGUAACGGCCCACCAAGGCAACGAUCAGUAGGGGUUCUGAGAGGAAGGUCCCCCACAUUGGAACUGAGACACGGUCCAAACUCCUACGGGAGGCAGCAGUGAGGAAUAUUGGUCAAUGGACGGAAGUCUGAACCAGCCAAGUAGCGUGCAGGAUGACGGCCCUAUGGGUUGUAAACUGCUUUUGUAUGGGGAUAAGGUUAGGGACGUGUCCCUAUUUGCAGGUACCAUACGAAUAAGGACCGGCUAAUUCCGUGCCAGCAGCCGCGGUAAUACGGAAGGUCCAGGCGUUAUCCGGAUUUAUUGGGUUUAAAGGGAGCGUAGGCUGGAGAUUAAGUGUGUCGUGAAAUGUAGACGCUCAACGUCUGAAUUGCAGCGCAUACUGGUUUCCUUGAGUACGCACAACGUUGGCGGAAUUCGUCGUGUAGCGGUGAAAUGCUUAGAUAUGACGAAGAACUCCGAUUGCGAAGGCAGCUGACGGGAGCGCAACUGACGCUUAAGCUCGAAGGUGCGGGUAUCAAACAGGAUUAGAUACCCUGGUAGUCCGCACAGUAAACGAUGGAUGCCCGCUGUUGGUACCUGGUAUCAGCGGCUAAGCGAAAGCAUUA
This 798-nucleotide ribosomal RNA is filed under the name uncultured Bacteroidota bacterium. Its description in RNAcentral is "bacterial SSU rRNA". It matches the Rfam family "Bacterial small subunit ribosomal RNA", at positions 67 to 862 of the family's 1533-position model. The record is from RNAcentral. Lineage: Bacteria; Pseudomonadati; Bacteroidota.